GCCCUGGUGGCAGAAAAGUUAAGCACUCAGCUGCUAACCGAAAAGUUGGUGGUUUGAACCCACCCAGCGGCU
Molecule: transfer RNA, 72 nt
Filed under: Loxodonta africana (African savanna elephant)
Lineage: Eukaryota; Metazoa; Chordata; Mammalia; Proboscidea; Elephantidae
Rfam family: tRNA
About the family: Transfer RNA (tRNA) molecules are approximately 80 nucleotides in length. Their secondary structure includes four short double-helical elements and three loops (D, anti-codon, and T loops).
Source: Rfam by way of RNAcentral